RNAcentral lists this non-coding RNA (134 nucleotides) under Cellulosimicrobium funkei. RNAcentral describes it as "SAM-IV sequence". It matches the Rfam family "SAM (S-adenosyl methionine) riboswitch aptamer". From Rfam's summary of the family: SAM-IV is a mRNA element that regulates gene expression via direct sensing of S-adenosylmethionine (SAM or AdoMet). SAM-IV riboswitches share conserved nucleotide positions with the previously described SAM-I riboswitches sequence analysis and molecular recognition experiments suggest that SAM-I and SAM-IV riboswitches share similar ligand binding sites, but have different scaffolds. The record is from Rfam by way of RNAcentral. Lineage: Bacteria; Bacillati; Actinomycetota; Actinomycetes; Micrococcales; Promicromonosporaceae.
GGUCACGAGCACCAGUGCCAAGCCCCGGCUCGCUGGUCGGCAACCCCCUGUCACGGCGGGGUGCUCCGGGAGAUGACCAGGCCGCGCGCGACCGGCCCCGCACCCGCGGGACGGCCGCGCGGCAAGCGUGAUCG